GCGAAUACCGGAGAAUGUUAUCACGGGAGACACACGGCGGGUGCUAACGUCCGUCGUGAAGAGGGAAACAACCCAGACCGCCAGCUAAGGUCCCAAAGUCAUGGUUAAGUGGGAAACGAUGUGGGAAGGCCCAGACAGCCAGGAUGUUGGCUUAGAAGCAGCCAUCAUUUAAAGAAAGCGUAAUAGCUCACUGGUCGAGUCGGCCUGCGCGGAAGAUGUAACGGGGCUAAACCAUGCACCGAAGCUGCGGCAGCGACACUCAGGUGUUGUUGGGUAGGGGAGCGUUCUGUAAGCCUGUGAAGGUGGCCUGUGAGGGUUGCUGGAGGUAUCAGAAGUGCGAAUGCUGACAUAAGUAACGAUAAAGCGGGUGAAAAGCCCGCUCGCCGGAAGACCAAGGGUUCCUGUCCAACGUUAAUCGGGGCAGGGUGAGUCGACCCCUAAGGCGAGGCCGAAAGGCGUAGUCGAUGGGAAACGGGUUAAUAUUCCCGUACUUGGUGUUACUGCGAAGGGGGGACGGAGAAGGCUAUGUUGGCCGGGCGACGGUUGUCCCGGUUUAAGCGUGUAGGUGUGUGUUCCAGGUAAAUCCGGUUCACUUUA
RNAcentral lists this ribosomal RNA (597 nucleotides) under Salmonella enterica subsp. enterica serovar Chester. Its description in RNAcentral is "partial 23S ribosomal RNA". It matches the Rfam family "Bacterial large subunit ribosomal RNA", at positions 956 to 1554 of the family's 2925-position model. Lineage: Bacteria; Pseudomonadati; Pseudomonadota; Gammaproteobacteria; Enterobacterales; Enterobacteriaceae. The record is from RNAcentral.